This 401-nucleotide ribosomal RNA is filed under the name uncultured bacterium. RNAcentral's name for it is "bacterial SSU rRNA". It matches the Rfam family "Bacterial small subunit ribosomal RNA", at positions 355 to 773 of the family's 1533-position model. The record is from RNAcentral.
UGGGGAAUAUUGGACAAUGGGGGCAACCCUGAUCCAGCAAUGCCGCGUGAGUGAUGAAGGCCUUCGGGUUGUAAAGCUCUUUUGGCGGGGACGAUGAUGACGGUACCCGCAGAAUAAGCCCCGGCUAACUUCGUGCCAGCAGCCGCGGUAAUACGAAGGGGGCUAGCGUUGUUCGGAAUUACUGGGCGUUAAGGGCGCGUAGGCGGUCCUGAUCGUCGGAUGUGAAAGGCCUGGGCUCAACCUGGGAAUGGCAUCCGAUACGGCGGGACUGGAGUGUGGGAGAGGUUGGUGGAAUUCCCAGUGUAGAGGUGAAAUUCGUAGAUAUUCGGAAGAACACCAGUGGCGAAGGCGACUCGCUGGACAGACAUUGACGCUGAGGUGCGAAAGCGUGGGGAGCAAAC